RNAcentral lists this ribosomal RNA (518 nucleotides) under Babesia capreoli. RNAcentral's name for it is "SSU rRNA". It matches the Rfam family "Eukaryotic small subunit ribosomal RNA", at positions 521 to 1089 of the family's 1831-position model. Lineage: Eukaryota; Apicomplexa; Aconoidasida; Piroplasmida; Babesiidae. The record is from RNAcentral.
UGACCUAAACCCUCACCAGAGUAACAAUUGGAGGGCAAGUCUGGUGCCAGCAGCCGCGGUAAUUCCAGCUCCAAUAGCGUAUAUUAAACUUGUUGCAGUUAAAAAGCUCGUAGUUGAAUUUUUGCGUGGUGUUAAUAUUGACUGAUGUCGAGAUUGCACUUCGCUUUUGGGAUUUUUCCCUUUUUACUUUGAGAAAAUUAGAGUGUUUCAAGCAGACUUUUGUCUUGAAUACUUCAGCAUGGAAUAAUAGAGUAGGACUUUGGUUCUAUUUUGUUGGUUUGUGAACCUUAGUAAUGGUUAAUAGGAACGGUUGGGGGCAUUCGUAUUUAACUGUCAGAGGUGAAAUUCUUAGAUUUGUUAAAGACGAACUACUGCGAAAGCAUUUGCCAAGGACGUUUUCAUUAAUCAAGAACGAAAGUUAGGGGAUCGAAGACGAUCAGAUACCGUCGUAGUCCUAACCAUAAACUAUGCCGACUAGGGAUUGGAGGUCGUCAUUUUUCCGACUCCUUCAGCACCUU